GAUUAAGUUAUUAAGGGCGCACGGUGGAUGCCUUGGCACUAGAAGCCGAUGAAGGACGUUACUAACGACGAUAUGCUUUGGGGAGCUGUAAGUAAGCUUUGAUCCAGAGAUUUCCGAAUGGGGAAACCCAGCAUGAGUUAUGUCAUGUUAUCGAUAUGUGAAUACAUAGCAUAUCAGAAGGCACACCCGGAGAACUGAAACAUCUUAGUACCCGGAGGAAGAGAAAGAAAAUUCGAUUCCCUUAGUAGCGGCGAGCGAAACGGGAAGAGCCCAAACCAACAAGCUUGCUUGUUGGGGUUGUAGGACACUCUAUACGGAGUUACAAAGGACGACAUUAGACGAAUCAUCUGGAAAGAUGAAUCAAAGAAGGUAAUAAUCCUGUAGUCGAAAAUGUUGUCUCUCUUGAGUGGAUCCUGAGUACGACGGAGCACGUGAAAUUCCGUCGGAAUCUGGGAGGACCAUCUCCUAAGGCUAAAUACUCUCUAGUGACCGAUAGUGAACCAGUACCGUGAGGGAAAGGUGAAAAGCACCCCGGAAGGGGAGUGAAAUAGAACCUGAAACCGUGUGCUUACAAGUAGUCAGAGCCCGUUAAUGGGUGAUGGCGUGCCUUUUGUAGAAUGAACCGGCGAGUUACGAUUUGAUGCAAGGUUAAGCAGUAAAUGUGGAGCCGUAGCGAAAGCGAGUCUGAAUAGGGCGUUUAGUAUUUGGUCGUAGACCCGAAACCAGGUGAUCUACCCUUGGUCAGGUUGAAGUUCAGGUAACACUGAAUGGAGGACCGAACCGACUUACGUUGAAAAGUGAGCGGAUGAACUGAGGGUAGCGGAGAAAUUCCAAUCGAACCUGGAGAUAGCUGGUUCUCUCCGAAAUAGCUUUAGGGCUAGCCUCAAGUGAUGAUUAUUGGAGGUAGAGCACUGUUUGGACGAGGGGCCCCUCUCGGGUUACCGAAUUCAGACAAACUCCGAAUGCCAAUUAAUUUAACUUGGGAGUCAGAACAUGGGUGAUAAGGUCCAUGUUCGAAAGGGAAACAGCCCAGACCACCAGCUAAGGUCCCAAAAUAUAUGUUAAGUGGAAAAGGAUGUGGCGUUGCCCAGACAACUAGGAUGUUGGCUUAGAAGCAGCCAUCAUUUAAAGAGUGCGUAAUAGCUCACUAGUCGAGUGACACUGCGCCGAAAAUGUACCGGGGCUAAACAUAUUACCGAAGCUGUGGAUUGUCCUUUGGACAAUGGUAGGAGAGCGUUCUAAGGGCGUUGAAGCAUGAUCGUAAGGACAUGUGGAGCGCUUAGAAGUGAGGAUGCCGGUGUGAGUAGCGAAAGACGGGUGAGAAUCCCGUCCACCGAUUGACUAAGGUUUCCAGAGGAAGGCUCGUCCGCUCUGGGUUAGUCGGGUCCUAAGCUGAGGCCGACAGGCGUAGGCGAUGGAUAACAGGUUGAUAUUCCUGUACCACCUAUAAUCGUUUUAAUCGAUGGGGGGACGCAGUAGGAUAGGCGAAGCGUGCGAUUGGAUUGCACGUCUAAGCAGUAAGGCUGAGUAUUAGGCAAAUCCGGUACUCGUUAAGGCUGAGCUGUGAUGGGGAGAAGACAUUGUGUCUUCGAGUCGUUGAUUUCACACUGCCGAGAAAAGCCUCUAGAUAGAAAAUAGGUGCCCGUACCGCAAACCGACACAGGUAGUCAAGAUGAGAAUUCUAAGGUGAGCGAGCGAACUCUCGUUAAGGAACUCGGCAAAAUGACCCCGUAACUUCGGGAGAAGGGGUGCUCUUUAGGGUUAACGCCCAGAAGAGCCGCAGUGAAUAGGCCCAAGCGACUGUUUAUCAAAAACACAGGUCUCUGCUAAACCGUAAGGUGAUGUAUAGGGGCUGACGCCUGCCCGGUGCUGGAAGGUUAAGAGGAGUGGUUAGCUUCUGCGAAGCUACGAAUCGAAGCCCCAGUAAACGGCGGCCGUAACUAUAACGGUCCUAAGGUAGCGAAAUUCCUUGUCGGGUAAGUUCCGACCCGCACGAAAGGCGUAACGAUUUGGGCACUGUCUCAACGAGAGACUCGGUGAAAUCAUAGUACCUGUGAAGAUGCAGGUUACCCGCGACAGGACGGAAAGACCCCGUGGAGCUUUACUGUAGCCUGAUAUUGAAAUUCGGCACAGCUUGUACAGGAUAGGUAGGAGCCUUUGAAACGUGAGCGCUAGCUUACGUGGAGGCGCUGGUGGGAUACUACCCUAGCUGUGUUGGCUUUCUAACCCGCACCACUUAUCGUGGUGGGAGACAGUGUCAGGCGGGCAGUUUGACUGGGGCGGUCGCCUCCUAAAAGGUAACGGAGGCGCUCAAAGGUUCCCUCAGAAUGGUUGGAAAUCAUUCAUAGAGUGUAAAGGCAUAAGGGAGCUUGACUGCGAGACCUACAAGUCGAGCAGGGUCGAAAGACGGACUUAGUGAUCCGGUGGUUCCGCAUGGAAGGGCCAUCGCUCAACGGAUAAAAGCUACCCCGGGGAUAACAGGCUUAUCUCCCCCAAGAGUUCACAUCGACGGGGAGGUUUGGCACCUCGAUGUCGGCUCAUCGCAUCCUGGGGCUGUAGUCGGUCCCAAGGGUUGGGCUGUUCGCCCAUUAAAGCGGUACGCGAGCUGGGUUCAGAACGUCGUGAGACAGUUCGGUCCCUAUCCGUCGUGGGCGUAGGAAAUUUGAGAGGAGCUGUCCUUAGUACGAGAGGACCGGGAUGGACAUACCUCUGGUGUACCAGUUGUCGUGCCAACGGCAUAGCUGGGUAGCUAUGUGUGGACGGGAUAAGUGCUGAAAGCAUCUAAGCAUGAAGCCCCCCUCAAGAUGAGAUUUCCCAACUUCGGUUAUAAGAUCCCUCAAAGAUGAUGAGGUUAAUAGGUUCGAGGUGGAAGCAUGGUGACAUGUGGAGCUGACGAAUACUAAUCGAUCGAAGACUUAAUCAA
This 2923-nucleotide ribosomal RNA is filed under the name Staphylococcus aureus. RNAcentral's name for it is "23S ribosomal RNA". It matches the Rfam family "Bacterial large subunit ribosomal RNA". The record is from RNAcentral. Lineage: Bacteria; Bacillati; Bacillota; Bacilli; Caryophanales; Staphylococcaceae.